ACGUAGGUGGCAAGCGUUGUCCGGAUUUACUGGGUGUAAAGGGCGCGUAGGCGGGACUGCAAGCCAGAUGUGAAAUGCAGGGGCUUAACCCCUGAAAUCCACUUGAAACUGUGGUUCUUGAGUAAUGGAGAGGCAGGCGGAAUUCUCAGUGUAGCGGUGAAAUGCGUAGAUAUUAGGAGGAACACCAGUGGCGAAGGCGGCCUUCUGGACUUUAACUGACGCUGAUGCGCGAAAGCGUGGGGAGCAAACAG
This 251-nucleotide ribosomal RNA is filed under the name uncultured prokaryote. Its description in RNAcentral is "partial 16S rRNA". It matches the Rfam family "Bacterial small subunit ribosomal RNA", at positions 525 to 775 of the family's 1533-position model. The record is from RNAcentral.